Molecule: RNA transcript, 1103 nt
Organism: Hylaeus anthracinus
Lineage: Eukaryota; Metazoa; Arthropoda; Insecta; Hymenoptera; Colletidae
Gene: Phf5a
Gene name: PHD finger-like domain-containing protein 5A
Exons: 5
Source: RefSeq, a predicted model, not a curated record
GACGCGGCCGCUUAGCUCGUAGCCUUCGCUACCGCGGCCGCGUGGACCAUUCUCUCCUGUGCUCCAAAAGGCGUCCGAAAGCUAGGCUUCGUACUCUCUUCACUCUAUAGGUGACCGUCGUAAUUACAGUAAUGUCUCGUCAAAUUGAUAUACAAAUGCAAUCAAUUUGUGGUUUACAUGUAUAGAGACUUGUGUAAUUAACUCGUGUCUUGUAUCCCUUAUUGUGUUAUAUUUAUUCUGCAAUAUGGCUAAACAUCAUCCAGAUUUGAUUUUCUGCAGAAAACAACCGGGAGUCGCAAUUGGAAGAUUGUGUGAAAAAUGUGAUGGGAAAUGUGUAAUAUGUGAUUCCUAUGUAAGACCAUGUACUCUUGUCAGAAUUUGCGAUGAAUGCAAUUACGGGUCUUAUCAGGGUAGAUGUGUUAUCUGUGGUGGACCUGGUGUUUCCGAUGCCUAUUAUUGUAAAGAAUGCACAAUUCAAGAAAAAGACAGGGACGGUUGUCCAAAAAUUGUUAAUCUUGGAAGCUCAAAGACUGAUCUAUUUUAUGAAAGAAAGAAAUAUGGGUUCAAAAGAAGAUAAGCACAGAACGAGUUAAGAGAGUUUUACGGGAAGCAACGAGUUUUCGCAAGAACAUAUUUUUCGGCGUGAUUAAACAAAUUAUUAAAUCUGUCGAGAGGUAAACGAGGUAAUCUGCUAGAGCUUUCUCGCAAAUAUUCAACUGAACUUGCAGCUCCUCCAACUUUUCUAGAAGCUUUGGACGAUUGGUUGACUUGACGAUGUUUAAAUUGCUCAAUACCUCUCUUAGCAAUUCCUUACAAAUAUAAAUUUAAUAAGUUUAGUAGUUUCUUUUUAUAUACGAUAGUAAACAAAACAACACAAAACACAAUACAAAAAAAAUACUUCUCAAGGUAUUUCCUUAAAAAACAUGUUUAAAAAAUAAUCUUUAAAAAAUAUGUUAUCCUUAAACAUUUUGUAUAUAAUAUUGUCAAAUUAUUUCAACGCGUACUGUCAGAGAAUUGUGUCACUUUUGAGUUAAAGUAACUAAAAAAUGACAUUUUCCGCCAAGAAAUGAGAUUAAAUUAAGAUGACAAUGGGAAAGAGUACU